UACGAAGGGGGCUAGCGUUGUUCGGAAUUACUGGGCGUAAAGCGCGCGCAGGCGGUUCUCCAAGUCAGUGGUGAAAGCCCGGAGCUCAACUCCGGAAUUGCCAUUGAAACUGUUGAACUUGAGGACGAGAGAGGUGAGUGGAAUUCCCAGUGUAGAGGUGAAAUUCGUAGAUAUUGGGAAGAACACCAGUGGCGAAGGCGGCUCACUGGCUCGUAUCUGACGCUCAGGCGCGAUAGCGUGGGGAUCAAAC
This 250-nucleotide ribosomal RNA is filed under the name uncultured bacterium. Its description in RNAcentral is "partial 16S ribosomal RNA". It matches the Rfam family "Bacterial small subunit ribosomal RNA", at positions 524 to 773 of the family's 1533-position model. The record is from RNAcentral.